This is a non-coding RNA of Kockiozyma suomiensis, 109 nucleotides long. NCBI's taxonomy places the organism in Eukaryota, Fungi, Ascomycota, Lipomycetes, Lipomycetales, Lipomycetaceae. The record is from the annotation of a GenBank genome assembly.
GGGAGCUUGGCCGAGUGGUCUAUGGCGUCAGAUUUAGGUUAGGAUUCUUUCAAAGAAUUUCGAAUCUCUGAUAUCUUCGGAUGCGCGAGUUCGAAUCUCGUGGCUCUCA